RNAcentral lists this ribosomal RNA (546 nucleotides) under uncultured bacterium. RNAcentral's name for it is "partial 16S ribosomal RNA". It matches the Rfam family "Bacterial small subunit ribosomal RNA", at positions 357 to 895 of the family's 1533-position model. The record is from RNAcentral.
UGGGAAUUUGGACAAUGGGUGAAAGCCUGAUCCAGCAAUGCCGCGUGUGUGAAGAAGGCCUUCGGGUUGUAAGCACUUUUGUCCGGAAAGAAAUCCUUGGCUCUAAUACAGUCGGGGGAUGACGGUACCGGAAGAAUAAGCACCGGCUAACUACGUGCCAGCAGCCGCGGUAAUACGUAGGGUGCAAGCGUUAAUCGGAAUUACUGGGCGUAAAGCGUGCGCAGGCGGUUUGCUAAGACCGAUGCGAAAUCCCCGGGCUCAACCUGGGAACUGCAUUGGUGACUGGCAGGCUAGAGUAUGGCAGAGGGGGGUAGAAUUCCACGUNUAGCAGUGAAAUGCGUAGAGAUGUGGAGGAAUACCGAUGGCGAAGGCAGCCCCCUGGGCCAAUACUGACGCUCAUGCACGAAAGCGUGGGGAGCAAACAGGAUUAGAUACCCUGGUAGUCCACGCCCUAAACGAUGUNAACUAGUUGUUGGGGAUUCAUUUUCCUUAGUAACGUAGCUAACCGCGUGAAGUUGACCGCCUGGGGAGUACGGUCGCAAGAUU